GGGAGGAUGGCCGAGUGGUUUAAGGCGGCAGAUUUAAGUCCUAUACAAACCAUACAAGACCUAUUCUCUGCUUUCCGUUGGAAGCGUGGGUUCGAACCCCACUCCUCUCA
This 110-nucleotide transfer RNA is filed under the name Cladophialophora carrionii. It matches the Rfam family "tRNA". From Rfam's summary of the family: Transfer RNA (tRNA) molecules are approximately 80 nucleotides in length. Their secondary structure includes four short double-helical elements and three loops (D, anti-codon, and T loops). Further hydrogen bonds mediate the characteristic L-shaped molecular structure. tRNAs have two regions of fundamental functional importance: the anti-codon, which is responsible for specific mRNA codon recognition, and the 3' end, to which the tRNAs corresponding amino acid is attached (by aminoacyl-tRNA synthetases). tRNAs cope with the degeneracy of the genetic code in two manners: having more than one tRNA (with a specific anti-codon) for a particular amino acid; and 'wobble' base-pairing, i.e. permitting non-standard base-pairing at the 3rd anti-codon position. The record is from Rfam by way of RNAcentral. Lineage: Eukaryota; Fungi; Ascomycota; Eurotiomycetes; Chaetothyriales; Herpotrichiellaceae.